This 478-nucleotide ribosomal RNA is filed under the name uncultured bacterium. RNAcentral describes it as "partial 16S ribosomal RNA". It matches the Rfam family "Bacterial small subunit ribosomal RNA", at positions 28 to 523 of the family's 1533-position model. The record is from RNAcentral.
GACGAACGCUGGCGGCGUGCUUAGCACAUGCAAGUCGAACGGUAAGGCCCUUCGGGGUACACGAGUGGCGAACGGGUGAGUAACACGUGGGUGAUCUGCCCUGCACUUCGGGAUCAGCCUGGGAAACCGGGUCUAAUACCGGAUAGGACUCCGGACUGCAUGGUCUGGGGUGGAAAGCUUUUGCGGUGUGGGAUGGGCCCGCGGCCUAUCAGCUUGUUGGUGGGGUGAUGGCCUACCAAGGCGACGACGGGUAGCCGGCCUGAGAGGGUGACCGGCCACACUGGGACUGAGAUACGGCCCAGACUCCUACGGGAGGCAGCAGUGGGGAAUAUUGCACAAUGGGCGCAAGCCUGAUGCAGCGACGCCGCGUGAGGGAUGACGGCCUUCGGGUUGUAAACCUCUUUCAGCAUCGACGAAGCGAAAGUGACGGUAGGUGCAGAAGAAGGACCGGCCAACUACGUGCCAGCCGCCGCGGUAA